This 402-nucleotide ribosomal RNA is filed under the name uncultured bacterium. Its description in RNAcentral is "bacterial SSU rRNA". It matches the Rfam family "Bacterial small subunit ribosomal RNA", at positions 355 to 774 of the family's 1533-position model. The record is from RNAcentral.
UGGGGAAUAUUGCACAAUGGGGGAAACCCUGAUGCAGCGACGCCGCGUGAAGGAAGAAGUAUUUCGGUAUGUAAACUUCUAUCAGCAGGGAAGAAGAUGACGGUACCUGACUAAGAAGCCCCGGCUAACUACGUGCCAGCAGCCGCGGUAAUACGUAGGGGGCAAGCGUUAUCCGGAUUUACUGGGUGUAAAGGGAGCGUAGACGGAGCGGCAAGUCUGGAGUGAAAACCCAGGGCUUAACCCUGGGACUGCUUUGGAAACUGUCGUUCUUGAGUGCCGGAGGGGUAAGCGGAAUUCCUAGUGUAGCGGUGAAAUGCGUAGAUAUUAGGAGGAACACCAGUGGCGAAGGCGGCUUACUGGACGGCAACUGACGUUGAGGCUCGAAAGCGUGGGGAGCAAACA